UGGCGGGGGCUAUACAUGCAAGUCGACGCUUUGUGGUUCAACUGAUUUGAAGAGCUUGCUCAGAUAUGACGAUGGACAUUGCAAAGAGUGGCGAACGGGUGAGUAACACGUGGGAAACCUACCUCUUAGCAGGGGAUAACAUUUGGAAACAGAUGCUAAUACCGUAUAACAAUAGCAACCGCAUGGUUGCUACUUAAAAGAUGGUUCUGCUAUCACUAAGAGAUGGUCCCGCGGUGCAUUAGUUAGUUGGUGAGGUAAUGGCUCACCAAGACGAUGAUGCAUAGCCGAGUUGAGAGACUGAUCGGCCACAAUGGGACUGAGACACGGCCCAUACUCCUACGGGAGGCAGCAGUAGGGAAUCUUCCACAAUGGGCGAAAGCCUGAUGGAGCAACGCCGCGUGUGUGAUGAAGGGUUUCGGCUCGUAAAACACUGUUGUAAGAGAAGAAUGACAUUGAGAGUAACUGUUCAAUGUGUGACGGUAUCUUACCAGAAAGGAACGGCUAAAUACGUGCCAGCAGCCGCGGUAAUACGUAUGUUCCAAGCGUUAUCCGGAUUUAUUGGGCGUAAAGCGAGCGCAGACGGUUAUUUAAGUCUGAAGUGAAAGCCCUCAGCUCAACUGAGGAAUUGCUUUGGAAACUGGAUGACUUGAGUGCAGUAGAGGAAAGUGGAACUCCAUGUGUAGCGGUGAAAUGCGUAGAUAUAUGGAAGAACACCAGUGGCGAAGGCGGCUUUCUGGACUGUAACUGACGUUGAGGCUCGAAAGUGUGGGUAGCAAACAGGAUUAGAUACCCUGGUAGUCCACACCGUAAACGAUGAGUGCUAGGUGUUUGAGGGU
Molecule: ribosomal RNA, 836 nt
Filed under: Weissella cibaria
Lineage: Bacteria; Bacillati; Bacillota; Bacilli; Lactobacillales; Lactobacillaceae
Description: bacterial SSU rRNA
Rfam family: Bacterial small subunit ribosomal RNA
Source: RNAcentral